CAACAGCUCAAAUUUGAAAUCUGGCCUCUUYGGGGUCCGAGUUGUAAUUUGUAGAGGGUGCUUCGGGCGCGAUGCCGGUCUAAGUUCCUUGGAACAGGACGUCGCAGAGGGUGAGAAUCCCGUACGUGACCGGCAAUCAAGCCUGUGUGAAGCCCCUUCGACGAGUCGAGUUGUUUGGGAAUGCAGCUCAAAAUGGGUGGUAAAUUUCAUCUAAAGCUAAAUAUUGGCCAGAGACCGAUAGCGGACAAGUAGAGUGAUCGAAAGAUGAAAAGCACUUUGGAAAGAGAGUCAAACAGUACGUGAAAUUGUUGAAAGGGAAGCGCUUGCAAUCAGACCGGUCCGGAGGCGAUCAGCCGCUGCUCGUUCAGCGGUGCACUCGCCUGCGAUCCGGCCAGCAUCGGUUUGGGCGGCGGGAUAAAAGUCCCGGGAAUGUAGCUUCUCUCGGGGAGUCUUAUAGCCCGGGUCGCAAUGCCGCCCGCCUGGACCGAGGACCGCGCUUCGGCUAGGAUGCUGGCGUAAUGGUUGCAAGCGACCCGUCUUGAAACACGG
RNAcentral lists this ribosomal RNA (549 nucleotides) under Sticta aff. hypoglabra. RNAcentral describes it as "partial large subunit ribosomal RNA". Lineage: Eukaryota; Fungi; Ascomycota; Lecanoromycetes; Peltigerales; Lobariaceae. The record is from RNAcentral.